UUCGUGUCGAUCUCAGGCGUGUUCAGACGUAUAUCGCGCAACGCGUUUCGUUUUAUCAGACUUCUGUUUUCAAAGUUUGCAUUAUAUUCGGACGACAAUCGACUUAGUCGUAAUAUGCAUCUGCAGUGUCUUCUUAAUAAGAAAUUGUGCGUUUAAUGUGCAUAAAUGUUUUUUUUUGCUUUAUUUUGAUGUUUAUAUUUCAAAUCAAAUGUUUCGGUUAUUGUGGGACGUGGUCGAUCGCUAAAUCAAUCGGAAACCUAUUCAUGCUUGAUACUUGCCGUACCCUUGCAAUCCGAUGAGCGCUGCAUUGGUAAGUUUAUAAUUAAGUUAUAUUAUUCGGUUAAUCAUGUUUUAUCACAUUUCACCUGCGUGUUGCAAUAGCCCGCGAAUUAGGGGGGCUGUAUAUAUUUCACUUAAUGGUAAUAUGGAAAACGGAUCAUAUUCCGGAAAACCUUUGUGAAGUGUUCAAAUUCUUUAUCGGAUUCUGAUUGCGCAAGAGGGGUUUUGUUAAUUAUUUUGUUGAUUUAGUUGAGUCUCAUUCGGUGUACCUUAGCAGGAUAACGAUAGAAGUGACUCGUGUUCCGAGCACCGUAGGGGGUGAGGGUAGAAGUGACUCACAUUCAGCGCACCGUACGAGGGCAGCGGUAGUAGUGACUCGUGUUCAGAGCACCGUAGGGGGUAACAGUAGAAGUGAAUCGUGUUCGGGCAAUUUAAUGGCAUGUAAUUAAACGAACUUUAUUUUUUCGAUUUUUAACUUGUCAAUUCAUUAAAUGCACUUAUAAUUAAUGUUUGCACUUAAAAAUACAGAACUGAACUUAAAAAUAAA
Molecule: long non-coding RNA, 826 nt
Organism: Dalotia coriaria
Lineage: Eukaryota; Metazoa; Arthropoda; Insecta; Coleoptera; Staphylinidae
Exons: 2
Source: RefSeq, a predicted model, not a curated record